This 90-nucleotide transfer RNA is filed under the name Alphaproteobacteria bacterium. Its description in RNAcentral is "tRNA-Ser". It matches the Rfam family "tRNA". Rfam says of the family: Transfer RNA (tRNA) molecules are approximately 80 nucleotides in length. Their secondary structure includes four short double-helical elements and three loops (D, anti-codon, and T loops). Further hydrogen bonds mediate the characteristic L-shaped molecular structure. tRNAs have two regions of fundamental functional importance: the anti-codon, which is responsible for specific mRNA codon recognition, and the 3' end, to which the tRNAs corresponding amino acid is attached (by aminoacyl-tRNA synthetases). tRNAs cope with the degeneracy of the genetic code in two manners: having more than one tRNA (with a specific anti-codon) for a particular amino acid; and 'wobble' base-pairing, i.e. permitting non-standard base-pairing at the 3rd anti-codon position. The record is from RNAcentral. Lineage: Bacteria; Pseudomonadati; Pseudomonadota; Alphaproteobacteria.
GGAUGGGUGGCCGAGUGGUUUAAGGCAACGGUCUUGAAAACCGUCGUGGGCGCAAGUCCACCGUGGGUUCGAAUCCCACCCCAUCCGCCA